UACGAAGGGGGCUAGCGUUGUUCGGAAUUACUGGGCGUAAAGGGCAUGUAGGCGGUUUGAUAAAUUAGGAGUGAAAUGCCUGGGCUUAACCCGGGAACUGCUUUUAAGACUGUCAGACUUGAAUCCGUGAGAGGACAGUGGAAUUUCCAGUGUAGAGGUGAAAUUCGUAGAUAUUGGAAAGAACACCAGUGGCGAAGGCGACUGUCUGGCGCGGUAUUGACGCUGAGAUGCGAAAGCGUGGGGAGCAAAC
This 250-nucleotide ribosomal RNA is filed under the name uncultured bacterium. Its description in RNAcentral is "partial 16S ribosomal RNA". It matches the Rfam family "Bacterial small subunit ribosomal RNA", at positions 524 to 773 of the family's 1533-position model. The record is from RNAcentral.